CACAUGCAAGUCGAACGGCAGCACGGGGGCAGCCCUGGUGGCGAGUGGCGAACGGGUGAGUAAUAUAUCGGAACGUGCCCUGGAGUGGGGGAUAACUAGUCGAAAGACUAGCUAAUACCGCAUACGAUCUAUGGAUGAAAGUGGGGGAUCGCAAGACCUCAUGCUCGUGGAGCGGCCGAUAUCUGAUUAGCUAGUUGGUGGGGUAAAAGCCUACCAAGGCAUCGAUCAGUAGCUGGUCUGAGAGGACGACCAGCCACACUGGGACUGAGACACGGCCCAGACUCCUACGGGAGGCAGCAGUGGGGAAUUUUGGACAAUGGGGGCAACCCUGAUCCAGCAAUGCCGCGUGAGUGAAGAAGGCCUUCGGGUUGUAAAGCUCUUUUGUCAGGGAAGAAACGGUCCGGGCUAAUAUCCUGGGCU
This 420-nucleotide ribosomal RNA is filed under the name uncultured beta proteobacterium. Its description in RNAcentral is "bacterial SSU rRNA". It matches the Rfam family "Bacterial small subunit ribosomal RNA", at positions 52 to 474 of the family's 1533-position model. The record is from RNAcentral. Lineage: Bacteria; Pseudomonadati; Pseudomonadota; Betaproteobacteria.